Molecule: ribosomal RNA, 254 nt
Filed under: uncultured bacterium
Lineage: Bacteria
Description: partial 16S ribosomal RNA
Rfam family: Bacterial small subunit ribosomal RNA
Source: RNAcentral
UACAGAGGUCCCAAGCGUUGUUCGGAUUCACUGGGCGUAAAGGGUGCGUAGGUGGCCUGGAAAGUUUGAUGUGAAAGCUCGGAGCUUAACUCCGAAAUGGCAUUGAAUACUACUGGGCUUGAGGGUCGGAGGGGAGACUGGAAUUCUCGGUGUAGCAGUGAAAUGCGUAGAUAUCGGGAGGAACACCAGUGGCGAAGGCGACUACCUGGCCUGUUUCUUGACGCUGAGGCGCGAAAGCUAGGGGAGCAAACGGG